Poecilia latipinna (sailfin molly) is the source of this 259-nucleotide long non-coding RNA. RefSeq lists it as uncharacterized. The record is from RefSeq and is a predicted model, not a curated record. Lineage: Eukaryota; Metazoa; Chordata; Actinopteri; Cyprinodontiformes; Poeciliidae. The transcript is spliced from 3 exons.
AGGGAUUCAUCCAGCAGCCGCUGACUGUGGCCUUCCAGGCUCUGAAUAAAGCAGAAAUAAACCUGGUCUUGACAUAAAACCUGGGAUCGAAUGUUUUUCCAGCGUCGGUGUGGAGUUUGAAAUUUUAGUAUCGUAACAACUGGAAAGGACUCUAUGCUGCAGUUUAUCAUUUCAAGGUUGGUUUCUUUACUCUGUCGGAGCUUCAAGAGAAAAUUCCUGAGAGGAGAAACUUUAAAGGUUUCUAAGAAGACAAGGAGAU